RNAcentral lists this ribosomal RNA (414 nucleotides) under uncultured bacterium. Its description in RNAcentral is "bacterial SSU rRNA". It matches the Rfam family "Bacterial small subunit ribosomal RNA", at positions 612 to 1024 of the family's 1533-position model. The record is from RNAcentral.
ACCUGAGUGCUGCAUUCCAAACUGGAUAUCUAGAGUGCAGGAGAGGAAAGUAGAAUUCCUAGUGUAGCGGUGAAAUGCGUAGAGAUUAGGAAGAAUACCAGUGGCGAAGGCGGUCUGCUGGGCCGUUGCUGACGCUGAGGCGCGACAGUGUGGGGAGCAAACAGGAUUAGAUACCCUGGUAGUCCACGCCGUAAACGAUGGACACUAGGCGUCGGGGGGAGCGACCCUCCCGGUGCCGUCGCUAACGCAGUAAGUGUCCCGCCUGGGGAGUACGGCCGCAAGGCUGAAACUCAAAGGAAUUGACGGGGGCCCGCACAAGCGGUGGAGCAUGUGGUUUAAUUCGACGCAACGCGAAGAACCUUACCCAGGCUUGACAUGCACGGGACGGGUGUGGAAACACACCUUCCCUUCGGG